UGGCGGCAGUAGCGCGGUGGUCCCACCUGACCCCAUGCCGAACUCAGAAGUGAAACGCCGUAGCGCCGAUGGUAGUGUGGGGUCUCCCCAUGCG
RNAcentral lists this ribosomal RNA (94 nucleotides) under Erwinia sp. Lineage: Bacteria; Pseudomonadati; Pseudomonadota; Gammaproteobacteria; Enterobacterales; Erwiniaceae. RNAcentral also lists the same sequence under 4 other names. The record is from RNAcentral.